This 784-nucleotide long non-coding RNA is filed under the name Hordeum vulgare. Its description in RNAcentral is "long non-coding RNA (HVUL_LNC019447)". The record is from RNAcentral. Lineage: Eukaryota; Viridiplantae; Streptophyta; Magnoliopsida; Poales; Poaceae.
GGCGUGUUUGGUUCCUUGCGUAGCCUCAAACUGCAUCGUAUCUACCAUCCUGGUUGAGUCUAGCCUGGCCAAUCUGAUGCAAAACUGAGUUCAGAUGUAUGUUUGGUUGUGUGCAUGGCGUGGGGCAGACUAAUGUGAGAUAUUGUUUGGUAGGUUGUAUGAGAAGUCAACCAAGUACUUCCCCAAAGCAUUACAGUGACGAAAAUUCGACGACCAGAUCAAGCCGCCACCAACGCGAGUGGUCUUGCCGAGCCGGCACAGCCGGGGCCUCCGCCCUUGACGCAGCCUAAGCCCGCGAGCGGAGGAGCACGGAUGUCCAGCAGUAGGUCACGGUGGACGAGGGAGCUCCCGAAAGGAGUUCAAAUGGCAGGAUUGAGGCGGACAGGGAAGCUCACCGGCUGGGGACAAGGAAGAUUCAACCGACGGCACAAAAGGGAGCUCCGACCACCAUGACGGCGAAUGGUUUGCCUGUUCGAUCCGAUCUGAUGCGUGAGAGAGAGGUGAGGAAAGAGAGAUACACGGUUGGUUUCGGUGGCAGUAUUGAUGUAAUUCUGAAAAAUGACGAGGUCGAUCCCAUAUACCGUUUCGUUUUAAGUGGAGCCGCGGGUGCAGGCGUGAGGAUGCAUCAGAGAAACGCUAGAUUCCUGCGUUCCUCUCAGCUUGGCUGAGAGGCCUCUUUCUGCAUCUGUCGGGCCUGGCCGAGGAGGCCACACAGGUAACCAAACGAGCUGGAUUCUGCAUCCGUGAUGCGAGCCAGGUGCGAGGCACCCAUCCAAACACGCCC